GCCAUAAUAGCUCAGUUGGGGGAGCUUUAGACUAAAGAUCUAAAAGCCUCCGGUUUGAUCCUGGCUCGUGGCA
Molecule: transfer RNA, 73 nt
Filed under: Enterobius vermicularis (human pinworm)
Lineage: Eukaryota; Metazoa; Nematoda; Chromadorea; Rhabditida; Oxyuridae
Rfam family: tRNA
About the family: Transfer RNA (tRNA) molecules are approximately 80 nucleotides in length. Their secondary structure includes four short double-helical elements and three loops (D, anti-codon, and T loops). Further hydrogen bonds mediate the characteristic L-shaped molecular structure. tRNAs have two regions of fundamental functional importance: the anti-codon, which is responsible for specific mRNA codon recognition, and the 3' end, to which the tRNAs corresponding amino acid is attached (by aminoacyl-tRNA synthetases). tRNAs cope with the degeneracy of the genetic code in two manners: having more than one tRNA (with a specific anti-codon) for a particular amino acid; and 'wobble' base-pairing, i.e. permitting non-standard base-pairing at the 3rd anti-codon position.
Source: Rfam by way of RNAcentral